AGCUUCCCGAGUUUGUCUUCAUAGGGGAGGUGCUCCGGUCCCCUUAUCCUGGAUACUGGGGUACAAAGUCAUGACCUGGCUCAUCCCACCGUAAGGAUAAGGGGAGCAGGGCUCCCUGUGCAUGUUUAUUUGCCGGGCAGAGGGUGGCCUUGCAGCGGGGGUGGGCCAGAAGUCCCUGUAAGAGGCAUCGGAGAAAAACAACUGUACUGGGUUUCUCAACACCCCUCUGCCUCCAAACUGCUCCUAAUGGCUGCCAAGUGACACCCAGGAUGGUGACCUACCUGCAAUGGGGCUCUCUUGUCGAGGGGGUUCCUUUCUCCACAGUGGGACAAAAACCUUGAUGAACAGCUACCAUCUGAGCUGAAAUACAUUGAUAUAAUCAAAUAAAGCAGAAGCAGCCACAUCUGGGCUAGCACCACAGUAAAACCUGCUUCCAGGUGUUUGCUCCUCUUCCAACCAGUCAGAGUGGCACCUCCAGCAGCCUCAGGCCAUAGAACCACAAUAAAGACCAGCUGGACUCACAGGGCUCUUCAAAGCCCCCUCAAAGGCCUGUUCUGCCCAAGCAGAGGCAGAGGGGACACAGCCCCAGACAGACCUGGCACUGGUCAAGGCAGAGCAGGAUAAGGUUCAUGUGUAUGCCAAGCAGCACAAGAAGCAGAGCUACAGCUCCCUGCCACUCACGCUGUUUUGCCCCUCACGCCUCGGGGCUGGACCACUUCACCCCUGAGAAUGACACUGCAAACCACCUAAGACUGACAGCCCAUUUGAGCCCUGCCAUGUGGUGGGGCUGCUCUACCUUCACAAAAGUAAGAAUUUCUAUUUUCACAAAUGAAAGAUGCACAUAACUCUUCAUAAACUUGUCAGAGUAACACCAGACACUAAGAAAAGAUCUGCCUCUUUCUUCCCCACCUUCCCUGAUCCGUUUGCUAAAAAUAAUAAAGCCAAACUCCCAGGAGCAAGCUGUCCCCACAGGUAACCCCUCUUGCUCUGCAUCUUACCUGGCAGCUGUUCUCUCUGUGGCCCAGCAGUCUUGUCCCACCAUCCCCAGCCAGAAGCUGGAUUCAGAGCAGUACCAGGCUCACGAGGAAGUCACCAGCUUGUAUUUAGAGGUAAGGCUGAUGUCAACUGAGGCAAAUAAGUGCAGUGGGCAGAACUCAUUUUAUAGGAAGAUUUUACUUCCUCAUUUGGCAGCCAUGCUCUCAUAUAACCAUAGUUUGAUAAACUUUCACUUCAUUUUUCAAAAGGAAAAAAAAAUAAAAGAGGUUCCUAACACA
This is a long non-coding RNA of Passer domesticus (house sparrow), 1274 nucleotides long. RefSeq lists it as uncharacterized. Lineage: Eukaryota; Metazoa; Chordata; Aves; Passeriformes; Passeridae. The record is from RefSeq and is a predicted model, not a curated record. The transcript has 4 exons.